AAGGCAAGGAAGAGUGAAGAUCCGUCUGGUGAGGUGGGGAGAAGGGGCACCCGAUGAUCCCAGGACAGGUGGAUGGACCUCUGAGCGAGAGUUGGCACGUCCAGACCUGGCAGAUGACAUCCCAGGAGGUGGCCUUUGAUGUGUGAUGCUGAGGAGGGACAUGGACACACGUGCGGAUGGUCAGGUUCCACGGAGGAUCUGCGACAGAAACAAAUUUUUGGCGGCCUGCAGGAUGACGAGCCCUCAGGGACCCUGGCGUCCCGGCCUGGCACUCACAGGACACGUUGAGCUGGAUGGUCUUCUCCGUGCUCACACCAGCUCCUCCGGGGAAGGUCGCUCGACAGGUACGGUUGGUGCCGUGGUCCUGGGGCCUCC
This is a long non-coding RNA of Ailuropoda melanoleuca (giant panda), 375 nucleotides long. RefSeq lists it as uncharacterized. The transcript has 3 exons. The record is from RefSeq and is a predicted model, not a curated record. Lineage: Eukaryota; Metazoa; Chordata; Mammalia; Carnivora; Ursidae.